RNAcentral lists this ribosomal RNA (425 nucleotides) under uncultured bacterium. RNAcentral describes it as "partial 16S ribosomal RNA". It matches the Rfam family "Bacterial small subunit ribosomal RNA", at positions 354 to 796 of the family's 1533-position model. The record is from RNAcentral.
GUGGGGAAUCUUGCGCAAUGGGCGAAAGCCUGACGCAGCCAUGCCGCGUGAAUGAUGAAGGUCUUAGGAUUGUAAAAUUCUUUCACCGGGGACGAUAAUGACGGUACCCGGAGAAGAAGCCCCGGCUAACUUCGUGCCAGCAGCCGCGGUAAUACGAAGGGGGCUAGCGUUGCUCGGAAUUACUGGGCGUAAAGGGAGCGUAGGCGGAUAGUUUAGUCAGAGGUGAAAGCCCAGGGCUCAACCUUGGAAUUGCCUUUGAUACUGGCUAUCUUGAGUAUGGAAGAGGUAUGUGGAACUCCGAGUGUAGAGGUGAAAUUCGUAGAUAUUCGGAAGAACACCAGUGGCGAAGGCGACAUACUGGUCCAUUACUGACGCUGAGGCUCGAAAGCGUGGGGAGCAAACAGGAUUAGAAACCCCUGUAGUCC